This is a long non-coding RNA of Bubalus bubalis (water buffalo), 228 nucleotides long. RefSeq lists it as uncharacterized. NCBI's taxonomy places the organism in Eukaryota, Metazoa, Chordata, Mammalia, Artiodactyla, Bovidae. The transcript is spliced from 2 exons. The record is from RefSeq and is a predicted model, not a curated record.
CUGUGUAUAAGGCACUUGUUAACUUUCUCCCGCCCCUCAGGAUGCGUCACUGGAGGUGCUGAUACCAAGAUCAAUAAGGAUCGAGGUCAAGAAGGCACACCCAUUUCUGGAGAGUUGCUUGAUUUGGAUCUGCAUGGUCUGGUUUCUGAAACAGGAUUCCAACACAGUAGUCUUUAGGACCUCAGAAGCUGCUUCCUCCUCAUGACCCCAUACUAGUUCCCUCCUCCC